UAGGGAAUCUUCGGCAAUGGGGGGAACCCUGACCGAGCAACGCCGCGUGAGUGAAGAAGGUUUUCGGAUCGUAAAGCCCUGUUGUUAAGGAAGAACGAGUGUGAGAAUGGAAAGUUCAUACUGUGACGGUACUUAACCAGAAAGGGACGGCUAACUACGUGCCAGCAGCCGCGGUAAUACGUAGGUCCCGAGCGUUGUCCGGAUUUAUUGGGCGUAAAGCGAGCGCAGGCGGUUAGAUAAGUCUGAAGUUAAAGGCGGGGGCUCGACCAUUGUAGGCUUAUGAAAGUGUUUAACUUGAGUGCAGAAGGGGAGAGUGGAAUUCCAUGUGGGACGGUGAAAUGCGUGGGUAUAUGGAGGAACACCGGUGGCGAAAGCGGCUCUAUGGUCUGUUACUGUCGCUGAGGCUCGAAAGCGUGGGGAGCGAACAGG
This 429-nucleotide ribosomal RNA is filed under the name Bacteroidota bacterium. Its description in RNAcentral is "Bacteroidetes bacterium partial 16S ribosomal RNA". It matches the Rfam family "Bacterial small subunit ribosomal RNA", at positions 355 to 776 of the family's 1533-position model. The record is from RNAcentral. Lineage: Bacteria; Pseudomonadati; Bacteroidota.